UGGGGAAUAUUGCGCAAUGGGCGGAAGCCUGACGCAGCGACGCCGCGUGGGGGAUGACGGCCUUCGGGUUGUAAACCUCUUUCAGCAGGGACGAAGCGGAAGUGACGGUACCUGCAGAAGAAGCACCGGCCAACUACGUGCCAGCAGCCGCGGUAAUACGUAGGGUGCAAGCGUUGUCCGGAAUUAUUGGGCGUAAAGAGCUCGUAGGCGGUCUGUCGCGUCGGCUGUGAAAACCCGGAGCUCAACUCCGGGCCUGCAGUCGAUACGGGCAGACUGGAGUUCGGCAGGGGAGACUGGAAUUCCUGGUGUAGCGGUGAAAUGCGCAGAUAUCAGGAGGAACACCGGUGGCGAAGGCGGGUCUCUGGGCCGAUACUGACGCUGAGGAGCGAAAGCGUGGGGAGCGAACA
RNAcentral lists this ribosomal RNA (407 nucleotides) under uncultured Geodermatophilus sp. RNAcentral's name for it is "bacterial SSU rRNA". It matches the Rfam family "Bacterial small subunit ribosomal RNA", at positions 355 to 774 of the family's 1533-position model. The record is from RNAcentral. Lineage: Bacteria; Bacillati; Actinomycetota; Actinomycetes; Geodermatophilales; Geodermatophilaceae.